Papaver somniferum (opium poppy) is the source of this 519-nucleotide long non-coding RNA. RefSeq lists it as uncharacterized. The record is from RefSeq and is a predicted model, not a curated record. NCBI's taxonomy places the organism in Eukaryota, Viridiplantae, Streptophyta, Magnoliopsida, Ranunculales, Papaveraceae. The transcript is spliced from 2 exons.
GAACACAAUUCUCGUAUUCAGUUCAUUCUGCGAAACUUUCAUUAAUUAGGCUGAGUCUUGGCCAGAGAUCUGUUGUACAUGCUGUAUGUUGGCGUAACGCAUGAUAUCUGACCCAAUUACAUCAGCCGGGAAAAUUGUCUUUUGUGAUAGGGGAAUUAAUGCAAGAGUUGCCUAAGGAGUUGUGGUGAAACAAGCUGGUGGAAUUGGAAUGGUUUUAGCCAAUACAGCUGCCAAUGGCGAAGAGUUAGUUGCUGAUGCUCAUUUGUUGCCGGCAAGUGGUGUGGGUGUGAAAGUUGCUGACGUAUAACCUGUUAUGCAACUAUGAAAAUAGAUGCAUCUACAAAUUUGUUGUAUAACUUGUUAUGCGUUCUCGAAAUUGGUUGCAUAACACUAUCUGCAGUUUUUUUUUUUGCAUAACUUGUUAUGCAGUCCAGAAAACGGUUGCAUAGCAUGUUAUGCAGCAACUUUUUUGUCACUAUCGGAACCAACAAAAAUAAAGACUGCAUAACUUGUCAUGCA